UCUUCAAAUGCAAUGCUAUUGCAUACGCUUUGCAUUUGAGGGGGGGGGGUGUUAGGAAGUAUUAGUAUUAGUCUAGGAGUCCUUAUUAGUCUAUUAGUAUUAGUCUAGGAGUCCUUAUUAGUCUAUGUUUACUUUCCUUGCACCUCAAGUCAUGUGUAAUAUAUAUGCCCCUUGGGCCUUCAAUACAGAUAAGUUGCUUUCCUAACA
RNAcentral lists this long non-coding RNA (207 nucleotides) under Hordeum vulgare. RNAcentral describes it as "long non-coding RNA (HVUL_LNC001402)". The record is from RNAcentral. Lineage: Eukaryota; Viridiplantae; Streptophyta; Magnoliopsida; Poales; Poaceae.